CCAAGGUCCGUAACCAGGGCGUAACCGGAACUCUGCGUAUUGAUUAGGUGCUUGCAUCAUGAUUUACAUUUGAGUGAGUGGCGAACUGGUGAGUAACACGUGGGAAACCUGCCCAGAAGCGGGGGAUAACACCUGGAAACAGAUGCUAAUACCGCAUAACAACUUGGACCGCAUGGUCCGAGCUUGAAAGAUGGCUUCGGCUAUCACUUUUGGAUGGUCCCGCGGCGUAUUAGCUAGAUGGUGGGGUAACGGCUCACCAUGGCAAUGAUACGUAGCCGACCUGAGAGGGUAAUCGGCCACAUUGGGACUGAGACACGGCCCAAACUCCUACGGGAGGCAGCAGUAGGGAAUCUUCCACAAUGGACGAAAGUCUGAUGGAGCAACGCCGCGUGAGUGAAGAAGGGUUUCGGCUCGUAAAACUCUGUUGUUAAAGAAGAACAUAUCUGAGAGUAACUGUUCAGGUAUUGACGGUAUUUAACCAGAAAGCCACGGCUAACUACGUGCCAGACAACCGCGGUAAUACGUAGGUGGCAAGCGUUGUCCGGAUUUAUUGGGCGUAAAGCGAGCGCAGGCGGUUUUUUAAGUCUGAUGUGAAAGCCUUCGGCUCAACCGAAGAAGUGCAUCGGAAACUGGGAAACUUGAGUGCAGAAGAGGACAGUGGAACUCCAUGUGUAGCGGUGAAAUGCGUAGAUAUAUGGAAGAACACCAGUGGCGAAGGCGGCUGUCUGGUCUGUAACUGACGCUGAGGCUCGAAAGUAUGGGUAGCAAACAGGAUUAGAUACCCUGGUAGUCCAUACCGUAAACGAUGAAUGCUAAGUGUUGGAGGGUUUCCGCCCUUCAGUGCUGCAGCUAACGCAUUAAGCAUUCCGCCUGGGGAGUACGGCCGCAAGGCUGAAACUCAAAGGAAUUGACGGGGGCCCGCACAAGCGGUGGAGCAUGUGGUUUAAUUCCAAGCUACCCGAAGAACCUUACCAGGUCUUGACAUACUAUGCAAAUCUAAAAAAUUAGACGUUCCCUUCGGGGACAUUGAAAACAGGUGGUGCAUGGUUGUCGUCAGCUCGUGUCGUGAGAUGUUGGGUUAAGUCCCGCAACGAGCGCAACCCUUAUUAUCAGUUGCCAGCAUUAAGUUGGGCACUCUGGUGAGACUGCCGGUGACAAACCGGAGGAAGGUGGGGAUGACGUCAAAUCAUCAUGCCCCUUAUGACCUGGGCUACACACGUGCUACAAUGGAUGGUACAACGAGUUGCGAACUCGCGAGAGUAAGCUAAUCUCUUAAAGCCAUUCUCAGUUCGGAUUGUAGGCUGCAACUCGCCUACAUGAAGUCGGAAUCGCUAGUAAUCGCGGAUCAGCAUGCCGCGGUGAAUACGUUCCCGGGCCUUGUACACACCGCCCGUCACACCAUGAGAGUUUGUAACACCCAAAGUCGGUGGGGUAACCUUUUAGGAACCAGCCGCCUAAGGUGGGACAGAUGAUUAGGGUGAUAGUUCGUACUUCCAGUUGCU
RNAcentral lists this ribosomal RNA (1502 nucleotides) under Lactiplantibacillus plantarum. Its description in RNAcentral is "bacterial SSU rRNA". It matches the Rfam family "Bacterial small subunit ribosomal RNA". The record is from RNAcentral. Lineage: Bacteria; Bacillati; Bacillota; Bacilli; Lactobacillales; Lactobacillaceae.